CAGGGAAUAGUUUAUAUAGAAUGUCAGCUUUGGGUGCUGACGGUGGGGCUGUUGUUCCUUCCUUGA
Molecule: transfer RNA, 66 nt
Filed under: Crocuta crocuta (spotted hyena)
Lineage: Eukaryota; Metazoa; Chordata; Mammalia; Carnivora; Hyaenidae
Description: tRNA-Pro
Source: RNAcentral